CUUGUGUCUUUUUCAACCACCGGAUAUGGUGACAUUACUCUUGCGUUGUUCCGGAAUUUUGUGUUAUGAUUAAAUAUACAAUUUUUUUGGCACGUAGCGAGAAAUUUAACUAUUAACUUCAUAAUAAAAUAUAUUUCAAGGUAUUUACAUCAAUUUCAUUAUUUGUCCAAUACAAAAUGGGUGCAGUGGAAGCGCAUAUGGAGUUUCUCAUGCCUCCCGGUGUUAAAUUAUCAUUUCACAAGGUAUUGUAAUAGCUUUUGCCUGUUUAAAUAGAUGGCUCGUGGACAACAAAAGAUUCAGUCGCAACAAAAGGCUGCUAAGAAGGCCCAAGAUUUGAAGAAACGUCAAAAUCACGAUCAAAAAGCAGCAGCUCAAAAAGCUUUAACUCACGUUUGUAGCGUUUGUAAGGCCCAAAUGCCUGAUCCUAAAACCUACAAACAACAUUUCGAGAAUAAACAUCCCAAGUCUGCUUUGCCGGAAGAAUUAAAGGAGGUUUAGCUUCGAAGAAAAAUUAUUGAAGUCAUAGCAAGCUUCCACAUCAGCAUUGAAGUCAUUUUGUUUGAGACCCAUGAACAUAUGUCAUAUGUCACUCAACUAAUCUUAUUCUGUUUAUCAUAGUAUAUACGUAUAUCCAAUUUCAGUUAUCCCGUUGUCAAUUUACAGUUUGAAAGAAUCAUAAUUUUCUAUUUCAUUCAUAACUGCAAAGUGAUAUACAAAUUGUUAACUAUUUUUUCUUUUGCCUACUCAAGUUUCUUAGAAUUAUCGUCCAUAUAAUCAUUCACUUUAAUCUAUUUUUUUGGAAAUUUUCCUGUCAUUCACCUCCUAUAGGAACUAAGUUGCCAUCAAAACAAAGUUUCAAGGGAAAAUAAAUGAGAUAUAUUUUCCUUAUUCGCUUUUCCGUAAAAAAUAAUUCCGACCUAUUUAACCCAUUUCGAGCAAAUAUUCCCACUGUGAAAAGUAGCGAACGAAAGGAAGGGGAAUAACAGCGUGCGUAAAGUAUUUUUUUGUAGACGUCGUCUAAUUUUAACAAAUAUGAAGAGUGUACAGGAAAAAACAUUCUAUUCGUAUUUUUCUUAAUAUUCGUACGUGAGAUACUUUUUACGGUAGAAAAUAGUAAUAAUGUAAUAGGUCUUGUAUUUUCUGCUUGUUAACUUAUCAUUAGUUUUUCGAGGUGUAAAGUAAGAAGAGUCUCAUAUAGAUAUAUACAGUAUACAGUAUAUCAAUUAGUACAUAACUAUAGGUAUAUUCAGUAUAUAAAUUUAUAUAUACUGUAUACUGUAUAAAGUAUAUGUAAUUAAUAGUCUUCUCUACAUGUUUAAUAGUGCAGGCGUAUAAAAUUAAUACCACAUUUACGCUGCCUAAUAUUUUCCACUGGAAUUUUUUAUAUCUCGUUCAGAAUUCAAAUGUAGGAGAAAAUUGUUAAUAAUUUACUAUAAGCAUAUAUACAUAUAUUGUAUAGGCAGUAUUUCGUCAAGUACAAUAUAAAAGGGUAUUCUAUUUAAUGAUCAAUUUUUACAUUAAAAGCUAUCUUCUCCCUUUUAUUGUUUUUUCCUCCUUUUUUCUAUAUUCUGUGUUUUCAUUAAAAGUUAAUGAUAAGUUUUUAUGCGGGAUUGUUUCUGCAAUGGUUUCUGAAUUCUAUUACCUAUGGUUGGAAUUUCUUAUUCUCUUAUCCUAGUAAACUGGUAGAAAUUUAAAUUUCUUAGAUUUUAUUAAUUGCACUUGACAAUACCGCUAAUUAAUCUAUUAGAAAAUUAAUGUCAAUGAAUGAAAGCAGAUAAAACUUAUUAUUGUCUUAGGAUAAUGUGAAGGUUGUAAUUCAGGAAGAAAUAUUGCAAUUUUCCUGGAAUUGCUGUUGAUAGUUCUAUAGGUAAUUCGUAUUUAGGAACGAAAUGAUAAAGGGUUAUGGUUGUUUUACACUCUCUUGUUCGCC
This 1930-nucleotide unclassified non-coding RNA is filed under the name Dimorphilus gyrociliatus. RNAcentral's name for it is "4F5 domain-containing protein". The record is from RNAcentral. Lineage: Eukaryota; Metazoa; Annelida; Polychaeta; Dinophilidae.